UACGUAGGGUGCAAGCGUUAAUCGGAAUUACUGGGCGUAAAGCGUGCGCAGGCGGUUUUGUAAGACUGUCGUGAAAUCCCCGGGCUCAACCUGGGAAUGGCGAUGGUGACUGCAAGGCUAGAGUUUGGCAGAGGGGGGUAGAAUUCCACGUGUAGCAGUGAAAUGCGUAGAUAUGUGGAGGAACACCGAUGGCGAAGGCAGCCCCCUGGGUCAGCACUGACGCUCAUGCACGAAAGCGUGGGGAGCAAACAGG
RNAcentral lists this ribosomal RNA (253 nucleotides) under uncultured bacterium. RNAcentral describes it as "partial 16S ribosomal RNA". It matches the Rfam family "Bacterial small subunit ribosomal RNA", at positions 524 to 776 of the family's 1533-position model. The record is from RNAcentral.